GACGAACGCUGGCGGCGUGCUUAACACAUGCAAGUCGAACGGAAAGGCCCCUUUGGGGGUACUCGAGUGGCGCACGGGUGAGUAACACGUGAGUAACCUGCCCUUGACUUCGGGAUAACUUCAGGAAACUGGGGCUAAUACCGGAUAGGAAUCCUUGCUGCAUGGUGGGGGUUGGAAAGCUUCGGCGGUUUUGGAUGGACUCGCGGCUUAUCAGCUUGUUGGUGGGGUAGUGGCUUACCAAGGCUUUGACGGGUAGCCGGCCUGAGAGGGCGACCGGCCACAUUGGGACUGAGAGACGGCCCAGACUCCUACGGGAGGCAGCAGUGGGGAAGAUUGCACAAUGGGCGGAAGCCUGAUGCAGCAACGCCGCGUGCGGGAUGACGGCCUUCGGGUUGUAAACCGCUUUCAGCAGGGGCGAAGCUUGUGGUGACGGUACCUGCAGAAGAAGCACCGGCUAACUACGUG
RNAcentral lists this ribosomal RNA (465 nucleotides) under uncultured bacterium. RNAcentral's name for it is "partial 16S ribosomal RNA". It matches the Rfam family "Bacterial small subunit ribosomal RNA", at positions 28 to 507 of the family's 1533-position model. The record is from RNAcentral.